GAAGGCUGAAGAAGGACGCCACAGUUGAAUCGAUUUGAAACAGUAAGUAGCUUUCUAUCUUAAAAUGCGUUUCUGCUAUGAAUUGUUAUCUGAACAUUUUCUAACCCGACAGAUGCAUUCCUUCAUAUUGGUAAUGUCGUAUCAGUUAACAGCUCUUUGCUAUUAUUAGGGCAACACAGGUCUAAUGCACAAGGAAGCGUGAUAUGCAAUCUAAUUAAAGUUAGAAUACAGGUACAUACAUGAAUUAAAAAUAAAUGAAUAAAAUUCACCAUAUAUAUUAAACUAAAUUAAAAUCCCAAGUUUAAAAUGUUUAUAUUCUAAUUGCCUGAAUUCUAAUUUGCAUAGGAGCCCUAACUCGAUUUCUUCAAAAUGAGACUGAACUUCUGUGCAAUCUGCUACUUUUAAAAUAUGAAAGUAAGAAUGCUCCUGCUGUUUACACAGAUGAUUCCAACCAUGGUAGAUGCUGAGAAUACAAGCUCCCAUGAGGAGAACAUUGCUGGUAAGAGUAUGGACAGAAGAAAAUACAGCAUCCAAAGUUGAUGACCUGUGCAUCUAUUCUGUGCAAUGAGGUGUAGCGCAAGUAAGUGCUUGCUGCAGCUGACACAUUCACGCUUCUCACCAUGAUAAUGGUAGUAGCUGACUGUAGUUCAGGCUGUUGCACUAGACAGCUAGCACCAGCUACCACAAGUAGCCUCAACACUGCAACGAUGCAACUGCAAGUGUUUCUGAGGUAGUGCUUCCUUUAGUAGCUUAUGCAUCACAGGAGUUUACUUCACUGAACAGUGCAGACAAGCCCAAUAUAGUUAAACCCCUCAAAAUCUUAUUUUUAUCAUGUGUAGAACAUAGCAAUAUCCUUUUCCCUUCCCUCACCACUACUCCUUUGGAAUGUAAUCUAAAACCUCCUGAAGAUUAUCCAAUUAACAUUCUUUUGUGUACAGUCAACAUUUACUAUAACUAUAUACCCAGCCUCAUGGUAAACUCUUACUAUAACCACAAAGAAAUAAUCCUACCUUUUAGACUCUCUGUCAUAUUCUUCCCCAAUCCAUAUAAAUGACUGAGCAGCAAGUAGAGCUGAAAUAUCAAGUUCUUGAACAUCGUGUGUAGAUGCCAAAACAAUUUCAUUGCUGUUUGCCUAUGCAGAACAAAUAAAAAACUUAUACUAACUUUAAUUAAUAUUUAUUGCACAUCCUAGUAAUAUUUAAGGCUUACUUUAUUAACUGCAAAUGCCAUUAUCAUAUCUGAUUCUUUGUGAAUGAUUUUUGCUUUUCCUCCAGGGUAGCCAAGAUCUGCUUCGACCUACAAAACAUUUAUGAGAAAUUUUACUUAGAGUGAAAAUCCAUUUUGUAGUGGUACAUUCAGACUGCAAAAGUCGAUACAAAAUUCAUGCAAGAAAAGUUCAGUGGCCUCAGCAUUGUUUAGGAAGCAAACUUUAGAAUUAUCAUAUGCUUUGGUGAUCUAAAAGUCAGAAGUUAUGUCUGAGUGUAAGAAACACAAAGUUGUGUGCGCAACACUGUUUACAAGGUGUUCACUCAUCCCAAUUAUAGGACAUCCAAAGUUAAUUCAUUCACUGAUUAAAAGCCUGCCACACAAACUACACAGAACACAUAGCUUCUGUUAGUCACAUUAGAGAAAGAAAAGCCAGUUCCACAGAACUUUUAAGAAUGUGCUGGAGGUUUGGGAGAAGGGAUACUACCUUGUUUUUGUGAUCUUCUGCUACGCAGUUUUGUUUGACCUGCUCCACACGAUCUUCUACAGACUACAUAACAUCACACAGUCACAAACACAAAACACAUGCACAAACAAAUAUAAAAAAGAAUGAAACAUUCCAAACUAGAUUUUAAAGGCCACUCUGUAAGCAAAUGAUGACAAAUGUAUUAUUAACUUCUUAUAAAAGGCACAGGAACUAUGACAGCAAUCUAAACAAACUCACUUAAAAUGUAAUGCCUCCUAGAUGAACACAAAAUGUAUGAUAUAG
This is a non-coding RNA of Anas platyrhynchos (mallard), 1975 nucleotides long. The record is from RefSeq and is a predicted model, not a curated record. NCBI's taxonomy places the organism in Eukaryota, Metazoa, Chordata, Aves, Anseriformes, Anatidae.